UACAGAGGGUGCGAGCGUUGUUCGGAAUUAUUGGGCGUAAAGGGCGCGUAGGCGGUGCGGUAAGUCACCUGUGAAAUCUCCUGGCUCAACUGGGAGCUUGCAGGCGAAACUGCCGUGCUGGAGUGUGGGAGAGGUGCGUGGAAUUCCUGGUGUAGCGGUGAAAUGCGUAGAUAUCAGGAGGAACACCUGUGGCGAAAGCGGCGCACCGGACCACAACUGACGCUGAGGCGCGAAAGCUAGGGGAGCAAACAGG
Molecule: ribosomal RNA, 253 nt
Filed under: uncultured bacterium
Lineage: Bacteria
Description: partial 16S ribosomal RNA
Rfam family: Bacterial small subunit ribosomal RNA
Source: RNAcentral